This 164-nucleotide ribosomal RNA is filed under the name Citrus x paradisi. RNAcentral describes it as "5.8S ribosomal RNA". It matches the Rfam family "5.8S ribosomal RNA". From Rfam's summary of the family: 5.8S ribosomal RNA (5.8S rRNA) is a component of the large subunit of the eukaryotic ribosome. The record is from RNAcentral. Lineage: Eukaryota; Viridiplantae; Streptophyta; Magnoliopsida; Sapindales; Rutaceae.
AAAACGACUCUCGGCAACGGAUAUCUCGGCUCUCGCAUCGAUGAAGAACGUAUCGAAAUGCGAUACUUGGUGUGAAUUGCAGAAUCCCGUGAACCAUCGAGUCUUUGAACGCAAGUUGCGCCCCAAGCCAUUUAGCCGAGGGCAUGUCUGCUUGAGUCUCAGGC